CAUCAUCAGGGACUAUUUGGAAGAUAUAAAUGAGAUACCAAAAUCACGCAUGUUUUGGCCUCGUGCUAUAUGGAGUAAAUAUGUUGACAAACUUGAGGAUUUGAAAUACAAGGAGAAUUCUACGCAAGCUGUGCAAUGCCUGAAUGACAUGGUAACUAAUGCCUUGUCGCAUGCUCAGGACUGCCUCAUAUACUUGUCUGAUCUUAAGGAUCUUUCCAACUUUCGAUUUUGUGCCAUCCCCCAGAUCAUGGCUAUUGGAACACUAGCUCUAUGCUAUAAUAAUGUGG
Molecule: unclassified non-coding RNA, 287 nt
Filed under: Hevea brasiliensis (rubber tree)
Lineage: Eukaryota; Viridiplantae; Streptophyta; Magnoliopsida; Malpighiales; Euphorbiaceae
Source: RNAcentral